Chinchilla lanigera (long-tailed chinchilla) is the source of this 291-nucleotide long non-coding RNA. RefSeq lists it as uncharacterized. The record is from RefSeq and is a predicted model, not a curated record. Lineage: Eukaryota; Metazoa; Chordata; Mammalia; Rodentia; Chinchillidae. The transcript is spliced from 3 exons.
CUCUUGCAGAGUAAAGGACAGGGACUCAGAAGUUCUGAAUAGUGGACUGUGAGGGAAGACAGAAGUAAGGCAGAUGUGUACUCAGAGGUGAGAAGUGUAUGCAACCUAACCCAAUCACGCUGAAAAAUGUGGAAAAUGGAAAUGCAUAAAGAAAGCUGCUGCCAAAGAGAAGAAUAAAGAAGAAAUAUUGAUGAAGCUCUGUCUGGAUUACGCAAAAUAUAUUCAGGGUAUAAGACAUGAAUAAAAUGGCUGAUCUUCUUGAAGAUCCACCCCACUACUUUAAACAACCGG